This 826-nucleotide ribosomal RNA is filed under the name uncultured bacterium. RNAcentral describes it as "bacterial SSU rRNA". It matches the Rfam family "Bacterial small subunit ribosomal RNA", at positions 627 to 1452 of the family's 1533-position model. The record is from RNAcentral.
UGGAAACUNUCUGACUUGAGUGCAGAAGGGGAGAGUGGAAUUCCAUGUGUAGCGGUGAAAUGCGUAGAUAUAUGGAGGAACACCAGUGGCGAAAGCGGCUCUCUGGUCUGUCACUGACGCUGAGGCUCGAAAGCGUGGGUAGCGAACAGGAUUAGAUACCCUGGUAGUCCACGCCGUAAACGAUGAGUGCUAGGUGUUAGGCCCUUUCCGGGGCUUAGUGCCGGAGCUAACGCAAUAAGCACUCCGCCUGGGGAGUACGACCGCAAGGUUGAAACUCAAAGGAAUUGACGGGGGCCCGCACAAGCGGUGGAGCAUGUGGUUUAAUUCGAAGCAACGCGAAGAACCUUACCAGGUCUUGACAUCCCGAUGCUAUUCUUAGAGAUAGGAAGUUACUUCGGUACAUCGGAGACAGGUGGUGCAUGGUUGUCGUCAGCUCGUGUCGUGAGAUGUUGGGUUAAGUCCCGCAACGAGCGCAACCCUUAUUGUUAGUUGCCAUCAUUAAGUUGGGCACUCUAGCGAGACUGCCGGUAAUAAACCGGAGGAAGGUGGGGAUGACGUCAAAUCAUCAUGCCCCUUAUGACCUGGGCUACACACGUGCUACAAUGGUCGGUACAACGAGUUGCGAGCCGGUGACGGCAAGCUAAUCUCUGAAAGCCGAUCUCAGUUCGGAUUGGAGGCUGCAACUCGCCUCCAUGAAGUCGGAAUCGCUAGUAAUCGCGGAUCAGCACGCCGCGGUGAAUACGUUCCCGGGCCUUGUACACACCGCCCGUCACACCACGAGAGUUUGUAACACCCGAAGUCGGUGAGGUAACCUUUUAGGGGCCAG